GUGGAGCCAAUGCAGAAGAGAAGAGGACAGCUCUGAAAAUGGCAGAUGACUUCAUUCAGCAAAUGAAUUACCCCAAGAUGAAAACACAGGUGGAGAUUUUACCACAGGGCAGAGAGACUGUUAUCUUUAAACAGUUUUUCCAAAACUGGAAUUAACCCGCACUUCACUGCAUGAUCGGAGAAUAAACUGUACUCAACCAGCUGUCAUUUGCUUAAAUAAGAUCACAGAGAUACUACAUUAUAAACAAAUGUACAGCUUUAUUAAAUAAGAUCAGCUUUUAUUCAUUGAGGGUUACAGUAAAAAUGCAUAUGAGUGAGAGAGGCUUUACUAUUUGUCUGUUACCAUAUUUUUUAUGGCUUUUGAAAGGUGUUUAUAUUGAUUAAUACAAAUUUAUUUUAAAGAGCUUUUAAUUGUUUUCCUCUAUUUUGAUUAAGUAAAAUCUAUUUUGCAACCUUCCUAACCACAAACCCCUGAGUAGAUACCACUUCUACUUAAAAUCAGAAUAAUGCUACUAACCAUUUUUCAAGCCAAUGCACAAUUUCUCAGGCUGAUUUUUUUUUUACUCAUUUUGUGUAUGUAAUUGGAGCAUGGCAAUAAAAAAGCAUAUGCAAAA
Long non-coding RNA from Sinocyclocheilus grahami, 613 nucleotides. RefSeq lists it as uncharacterized. The record is from RefSeq and is a predicted model, not a curated record. Lineage: Eukaryota; Metazoa; Chordata; Actinopteri; Cypriniformes; Cyprinidae. The transcript is spliced from 2 exons.